AAGCCAGACUCCUACGGGAGGCAGCAGUGGGGAAUAUUGCACAAUGGGGGAAACCCUGAUGCAGCGACGCCGCGUGAAGGAAGAAGUAUUUCGGUAUGUAAACUUCUAUCAGCAGGGAAGAAAAUGACGGUACCUGACUAAGAAGCCCCGGCUAACUACGUGCCAGCAGCCGCGGUAAUACGUAGGGGGCAAGCGUUAUCCGGAUUUACUGGGUGUAAAGGGAGCGUAGACGGCGGUGCAAGCCAGAUGUGAAAGCCCGGGGCUCAACCCCGGGACUGCAUUUGGAACUGUGCUGCUAGAGUGUCGGAGAGGCAGGCGGAAUUCCUAGUGUAGCGGUGAAAUGCGUAGAUAUUAGGAGGAACACCAGUGGCGAAGGCGGCCUGCUGGACGAUGACUGACGUUGAGGCUCGAAAGCGUGGGGAGCGAACAGGAUUAGAUACCCGUGUA
RNAcentral lists this ribosomal RNA (447 nucleotides) under uncultured bacterium. RNAcentral describes it as "partial 16S ribosomal RNA". It matches the Rfam family "Bacterial small subunit ribosomal RNA", at positions 328 to 792 of the family's 1533-position model. The record is from RNAcentral.